UUUUUAAAGGGAAAUUCCCUUAUUCCGAAUAGGAUUCCUUGCAAGAAAAGGGAAAAGUUGACAGCUAUGAAAAGGGAUAGUGGUGGAAGAAGCGUGUAUGCACCCUAACCACCUUGGAGGAACAUGGGGUAAAAGUAAUAUUAAUAACAACAAAUAAAUAUCCAGUUAAGAGGGACAGAUAGCAAGUGAUGGGCAACAAUCAUAGAACUGUGGAGUUGGAAGGGAUCCUCAGGAUCAUUUAGUCCAACCCCCUGCAAUGCAGAAAUCUUUUGCCCAAGAUGGGGCUCGAACCCACAACCUUGAGAUUAAGCUCUGCUUCAGAGUCUACCCUCCAUGCCCAUUGUCCAUGCUGGCUGGUGCUGAUGGGAGCUGGAGUCCAUCAACGACCUUGGCUACCCUUGGUGUAGGCAGUCCAAGACUUGGGACCCGUGUGCAUAGAGCUAUUAUGCUUGCAAAGCCUUUUCUUACAUGCGCCUGUGAAUAGCCACAGCGGUGCAGCAUAGCGGCUGAGACCGAGCUGAGGAGACCUCAUUUCAAAUCUCACCUCUGCCGCAAGCUCACUAGAGGCAAGCCUUCGGAUCUAUUUGUGUACAUGCGCGGCCGUUUCUAAUGCGGGACGGAAAGUGGUUGUUGUUUUUUUGCAAACCAAACCUCGAAUUUACAUGCUAGCCAAUGCAAUCUUUGCCUUUGCACUAUAGGCGGAGGGUUGGGAGUGCAAGAAUUUAUUGCGGUGCUGCGCCUCUAAGCUGAACAGCUCAGAAAGGAUUUCCUAAAUCGUGAGAGCCCAUCAGCUCCCAAGUGGGUUUUUUCGGCAUCUUCAUCUUUGCAAGGCUAACCUGCCAGAGAUGAUUUCGAGUUGGGGCUAUCCUGCCUCCCAGCAGAGUUCUGGACUUAAGCCUGUCUCUUUGGGAGAGCACGUAACUUCCCUGUGAUUGCGGGAGAUCAUUACACUCGGACGGACAUCUCUUCCCGCCCACUGCACAAGGAAGGGAGUGUGCAGAACUCUCGCCCCCCUCUCUCCCAACCCUUGUACCAGUGCCAAAUGUGUUCCCCCACUGGUACAGAGGAUGGAAGGGAGGGUGGUGCACAGACACAGUCCUCUUUGGAGUCUUCCCUCCCCAACUCUGAUGACAGCUCUAAGCCAGCAUCUUCCAGCACCAUCUUCCCUUCAACCAGCUCUGAAAGCCAGGCGGCCUCAUCUUCUCCCUGCCUUCACUCAUAACCACUGGCUCUGCUGAUGGCGUUCCCAACGUGUCAUCCUCAGACAUCUUUAGAGCCCAUCAAGGCCUCCUGCCCUUCUCUUGGACAGUUGCCUAUUUUGGUUUUUGGUUUUGCCUUCUGGAUUUUUGUGGGGGAAAGGGGUAUAGGAGCCUUGACUAAUUUAUAUUUGCAUUGGCACUUUUUCUUCUGUGAAAUUUUGUGGUACCCAUGACAGGUAAUGCGAUUUCCAAAUGUGACCCCCUCCCCACUCCAGGCACAAAAUGAUGAUGGUGAUGAUGAU
Podarcis muralis (Common wall lizard) is the source of this 1501-nucleotide long non-coding RNA. RefSeq lists it as uncharacterized. NCBI's taxonomy places the organism in Eukaryota, Metazoa, Chordata, Lepidosauria, Squamata, Lacertidae. The record is from RefSeq and is a predicted model, not a curated record.